This 436-nucleotide ribosomal RNA is filed under the name uncultured Oscillospiraceae bacterium. Its description in RNAcentral is "bacterial SSU rRNA". It matches the Rfam family "Bacterial small subunit ribosomal RNA", at positions 341 to 792 of the family's 1533-position model. The record is from RNAcentral. Lineage: Bacteria; Bacillati; Bacillota; Clostridia; Eubacteriales; Oscillospiraceae.
ACGGGAGGCAGCAGUGGGGAAUAUUGGGCAAUGGGCGAAGGCCUGACCCAGCAACGCCGCGUGAAGGAAGAAGGUCUUCGGAUUGUAAACUUCUUUUAUGUGGGACGAACAAAUGACGGUACCACAUGAAUAAGCCACGGCUAACUACGUGCCAGCAGCCGCGGUAAUACGUAGGUGGCAAGCGUUAUCCGGAUUUACUGGGUGUAAAGAGCGCGUAGGCGGGGAAGCAAGUCAGAUGUGAAAUCCAUGGGCUCAACCCAUGAACUGCAUUUGAAACUGUUUCUCUUGAGUGCUGGAGAGGUAGAUGGAAUUCCUAGUGUAGCGGUGAAAUGCGUAGAUAUUAGGAAGAACACCAGUGGCGAAGGCGAUCUACUGGACAGUAACUGACGCUGAGGCGCGAAAGCGUGGGGAGCAAACAGGAUUAGAUACCCUGGUA